Ribosomal RNA from Erinaceus europaeus (western European hedgehog), 117 nucleotides. The record is from Ensembl. Lineage: Eukaryota; Metazoa; Chordata; Mammalia; Eulipotyphla; Erinaceidae.
GUCUACAACCAUACCACCCUGAAUAUAUCUGAUCUCAUCUGAUCUCAGAAGCUAAGCAGGGUUCUGCCUCGUUAUUACUUGGAUGGGAGUUUAUAGGCACGUACUUUGUUAUAGAUA